This 254-nucleotide ribosomal RNA is filed under the name uncultured bacterium. RNAcentral describes it as "partial 16S ribosomal RNA". It matches the Rfam family "Bacterial small subunit ribosomal RNA", at positions 524 to 776 of the family's 1533-position model. The record is from RNAcentral.
UACGGAGGGUGCAAACGUUGCUCGGAAUUAUUGGGCGUAAAGCGCACGUAGGCGGUUGGGUAAGUCGGGUGUGAAAACUCCAGGCUCAACUUGGAGAUGCCACCCGAUACUGCUCUGACUUGAGUUCGGUAGGGGAGUGGGGAAUUCCUGGUGUAGCGGUGAAAUGCGCAGAUAUCAGGAGGAACACCGGUGGCGAAGGCGCCACUCUGGGCCGAAACUGACGCUGAGGAGCGAAAGCGUGGGUAGCAAACAGG